This 391-nucleotide unclassified non-coding RNA is filed under the name soil metagenome. Its description in RNAcentral is "partial contains 5.8S ribosomal RNA, internal transcribed spacer 2, and large subunit ribosomal RNA". The stretch from base 1 to 122 matches the Rfam family "5.8S ribosomal RNA", at positions 35 to 154 of the family's 154-position model. The record is from RNAcentral.
GAUGAAGAACGCAGCGAAAUGCGAUACUUGGCGUGAAUUGCAGAAUCCCGUGAACCAUCGAGUCUUUGAACGCAAGUUGCGCCCGAAGCCACUAGGCCGAGGGCACGCCUGCCUGGGCGUCACACGCCGUUGCCCCCCCAUCUACUCCUUCGGGAUUGCGGGGGGGCGGAUGAUGGCCUCCCGUGCGCCUAGCCGCGCGGUUGGCAUAAAUACCAAGUCCUCGGCGACGCACGCCACGACAAUCGGUGGUUGCGAAACCUCGGUUGCCCGUCGUGUGCGUUCGUCGCGCAUCGAGGGCUCGAAAAAAUGCUCGGCUCCGGCUGGGCUUUCAACGCGACCCCAGGUCAGGCGGGGUUACCCGCUGAAUUUAAGCAUAUCAAUAAGCGGAGGA